AGCGGCGGACGGGUGAGUAACGCGUGGGUAACCUGCCCUAUGGAGGGGGAUAACACAGAGAAAUCUGUGCUAAUACCGCAUAAGCGCACAGUAUCGCAUGAUACGGUGUGAAAAACUCCGGUGCCAUAGGAUGGACCCGCGUCCGAUUAGCUAGUUGGUGGGGUAAAGGCCUACCAAGGCGACGAUCAGUAGCCGACCUGAGAGGGUGAUCGGCCACAUUGGGACUGAGACACGGCCCAAACUCCUACGGGAGGCAGCAGUGGGGAAUAUUGCACAAUGGGGGAAACCCUGAUGCAGCGACGCCGCGUGAAGGAAGAAG
Molecule: ribosomal RNA, 319 nt
Filed under: uncultured bacterium
Lineage: Bacteria
Description: bacterial SSU rRNA
Rfam family: Bacterial small subunit ribosomal RNA
Source: RNAcentral